RNAcentral lists this ribosomal RNA (253 nucleotides) under uncultured bacterium. Its description in RNAcentral is "partial 16S ribosomal RNA". It matches the Rfam family "Bacterial small subunit ribosomal RNA", at positions 524 to 776 of the family's 1533-position model. The record is from RNAcentral.
UACGUAGGGUGCAGGCGUUAAUCGGAAUUACUGGGCGUAAAGCGUGCGCAGGCGGUUUCUUAAGUCAGAUGUGAAAGCCCCGGACUUAACCUGGGAACUGCGUUUGAAACUGGGAGACUUGAGUGUGGCAGAGGGGGGUGGAAUUCCACGUGUAGCAGUGAAAUGCGUAGAUAUGUGGAGGAACACCGAUGGCGAAGGCAGCCCCCUGGGUUAACACUGACGCUCAUGCACGAAAGCGUGGGGAGCAAACAGG